GACGAACGCUGGCGGCGUGCUUAACACAUGCAAGUCGAACGGAAAGGCCCCUUUGGGGGUACUCGAGUGGCGAACGGGUGAGUAACACGUGAGUAACCUGCCCUUGACUUCGGGAUAACUUCAGGAAACUGGGGCUAAUACCGGAUAGGAAUCCUUGCUGCAUGGUGGGGGUUGGAAAGCUUCGGCGGUUUUGGAUGGACUCGCGGCUUAUCAGCUUGUUGGUGGGGUAGUGGCUUACCAAGGCUUUGACGGGUAGCCGGCCUGAGAGGGCGACCGGCCACAUUGGGACUGGGAUACGGCCCAGCCUCCUACGGGGGCAGCAGUGGGGAAUAUUGCACAAUGGGCGGAAGCCUGAUGCAGCAACGCCGCGUGCGGGAUGACGGCCUUCGGGUUGUAAACCGCUUUCAGCAGGGGCGAAGCUUGUGGUGACGGUACCUGCAGAAGAAGCACCGGCUAACUACGUG
RNAcentral lists this ribosomal RNA (464 nucleotides) under uncultured bacterium. Its description in RNAcentral is "partial 16S ribosomal RNA". It matches the Rfam family "Bacterial small subunit ribosomal RNA", at positions 28 to 507 of the family's 1533-position model. The record is from RNAcentral.